CAGCUCCAUUAGCUAUUUAAGCUUGUAAAAUCAUUUGGCGAAGUUCACUUUGCGGUUCUUGAUUAUCGAUACACAUUUUCUAGGAUGAAGCUCGUCGUACUGAUUUUCAUGUUCGUGCUACUUGCCCUGGCCGGACACGUGAGUGCUAAGCAACCGGAUCCCCCAUUUUUAGACUGUUUAGAUAAAUAUGGCAACAUUGUAGUGUGUUAUCCUGGGGGACUACCAAGGCACAAAUAAAACAUAUCAUA
Molecule: long non-coding RNA, 248 nt
Organism: Anopheles coluzzii
Lineage: Eukaryota; Metazoa; Arthropoda; Insecta; Diptera; Culicidae
Exons: 3
Source: RefSeq, a predicted model, not a curated record